Molecule: ribosomal RNA, 128 nt
Filed under: Phyllanthus salviifolius
Lineage: Eukaryota; Viridiplantae; Streptophyta; Magnoliopsida; Malpighiales; Phyllanthaceae
Description: partial 5.8S ribosomal RNA
Rfam family: 5.8S ribosomal RNA
About the family: 5.8S ribosomal RNA (5.8S rRNA) is a component of the large subunit of the eukaryotic ribosome. It is transcribed by RNA polymerase I as part of the 45S precursor that also contains 18S and 28S rRNA.
Source: RNAcentral
AUCGAUGAAGAACGCAGCGAAAUGCGAUACUUGGUGUGAAUUGCAGAAUCCCGUGAACCAUCGAGUCUUUGAACGCAAGUUGCGCCCAAGGCCUUCGGGUUGAGGGCACGUCUGCCUGGGUGUCACGC